GAUGAACGCUGGCGGCGUGCCUAAUACAUGCAAGUCGAGCGAACAGACGAGGAGCUUGCUCCUCUGACGUUAGCGGCGGACGGGUGAGUAACACGUAGAUAACCUACCUAUAAGACUGGGAUAACUUCGGGAAACCGGAGCUAAUACCGGAUAAUAUAUUGAACCGCAUGGUUCAAUAGUGAAAGACGGUUUUGCUGUCACUUAUAGAUGGAUCCGCGCCGCAUUAGCUAGUUGGUAAGGUAACGGCUUACCAAGGCGACGAUGCGUAGCCGACCUGAGGGGGGGACCGGCCACACGGAAAGGGAACACGGGCCCAACAUCCACGGGGGGGCAGAAGGGGGAAAUUUUCCGAAAGGGGGGAAACCCUGACGGGGCAAACCCGGUGGGGUGAUAAAGGUUUUCGGAUCGAAAACCUUUUUUAUUGGGAAAAAAAAAAUUUGUAAAUAACCAUGCACGUUUUGCCGGACCCUAAUAAGAAAACCCGGGUUAACUCGGG
Molecule: ribosomal RNA, 496 nt
Filed under: uncultured bacterium
Lineage: Bacteria
Description: partial 16S ribosomal RNA
Rfam family: Bacterial small subunit ribosomal RNA
Source: RNAcentral